AUGGCUUGUGUUACGUCUGUCAGAUACUCAGUGAAGUUUAAUGGCAGGUUACUGGAAUCAUUUUCCCCCUCAAGGGGCUUGCGGCAAGGUGACCCCCUGUCCCCCUUUUUGUUCUUAUUUGUGGCUGAUGCCCUUUCUUCCUUGAUCAGUAAAUCUAUGCGAGAGGAGGGCUUGCAAGGGGUGAAUAUUUGUCGCGGGGCUCCUGUGAUUUCUCAUCUUCUCUUCGCGGAUGAUUCGCUGUUAUUUUUUCAUGCAACCGAACAGCAAGCGGCACUGGUAAAAGAUUUGUUGAACACCUUCGCAAUGGCCACGGGCCAGUUGAUAAACCCUUCGAAGUGUUCCAUUCUUUUUUCAGACAAUUGCUUGGAGGCUACAGCGGCGAAUAUCAAGAGCUUGUUGGAGAUCACUCAGGAAGUGUUUGAGCCUAGAUACCUAGGUCUUCCUGUUCCAGAAGGGAGGAUGCACAAAGGCAAGUUUGAAACAAUACAAGAACUCCUGAGGAAGAGACUAAUUGAUUGGAAUGAGAAAUAUAUGUCAUCAGGUAACAAAGAAAUCUUAAUAAAAUCCGUAGCUCAAGCUAUUCCAGCUUAUGUUAUGAGUGUGUUCAAGCUGCUAGCCUCGGUUUGUGAUGAGCUCACCCGUAUGAUGCGUCAAUACUGA
RNAcentral lists this ribosomal RNA (660 nucleotides) under Triticum aestivum (bread wheat). Its description in RNAcentral is "partial small subunit ribosomal RNA". The record is from RNAcentral. Lineage: Eukaryota; Viridiplantae; Streptophyta; Magnoliopsida; Poales; Poaceae.